Molecule: ribosomal RNA, 281 nt
Filed under: Aspergillus fischeri
Lineage: Eukaryota; Fungi; Ascomycota; Eurotiomycetes; Eurotiales; Aspergillaceae
Description: partial 28S ribosomal RNA
Rfam family: Eukaryotic large subunit ribosomal RNA
Source: RNAcentral
GAGUGAUCGAAAGAUGAAAAGCACUUUGAAAAGAGAGUUAAACAGCACGUGAAAUUGUUGAAAGGGAAGCGUUUGCGACCAGACUCGCCCGCGGGGUUCAGCCGGCAUUCGUGCCGGUGUACUUCCCCGUGGGCGGGCCAGCGUCGGUUUGGGCGGCCGGUCAAAGGCCCUCGGAAUGUAUCACCUCUCGGGGUGUCUUAUAGCCGAGGGUGCAAUGCGGCCUGCCCGGACCGAGGAACGCGCUUCGGCUCGGACGCUGGCGUAAUGGUCGCAAAUGACCC